Small nuclear RNA from Lepisosteus oculatus (spotted gar), 169 nucleotides. It matches the Rfam family "U2 spliceosomal RNA". Rfam says of the family: U2 is a small nuclear RNA (snRNA) component of the spliceosome (involved in pre-mRNA splicing). The record is from Rfam. NCBI's taxonomy places the organism in Eukaryota, Metazoa, Chordata, Actinopteri, Semionotiformes, Lepisosteidae.
AUUGUUCUCUGCCUUUUGGCUAAGCUCAAGUGUAGUACCUGUUCAUAUCAGUUAAAUAUCUGAUACGUCUUCAUUGCUGACUACUGGCAUUUACAAGAUUCAACCAAGAAUUCUUAGGUCUACAGCAAUCUACUGUAUCUGCACUCCAUACUGUGUGUUUACUGGCUGA